RNAcentral lists this small RNA (836 nucleotides) under uncultured Podospora. RNAcentral's name for it is "eukaryotic LSU rRNA". The stretch from base 553 to 836 matches the Rfam family "Eukaryotic large subunit ribosomal RNA", at positions 1 to 281 of the family's 3401-position model. The record is from RNAcentral. Lineage: Eukaryota; Fungi; Ascomycota; Sordariomycetes; Sordariales; Lasiosphaeriaceae.
CUUGGUCAUUUAGAGGAAGUAAAAGUCGUAACAAGGUCUCCGUUGGUGAACCAGCGGAGGGAUCAUUACAGAGUUGCAAAACUCCCAACCAUUGUGAAUCUACCUCACCGUUGCUUCGGCGAGUGGCUCGGGCACAACCCGGGCCGCGCCGGCCCCGCCUCGCGGGGUCCGGCAACCCGUCAGAGGACCGAAACUCUUAGUCAUCAUUGGCCUCUCUGAGUAACUUAUACAAUAAGUCAAAACUUUCAACAACGGAUCUCUUGGUUCUGGCAUCGAUGAAGAACGCAGCGAAAUGCGAUACGUAAUGUGAAUUGCAGAUUUCAGUGAAUCAUCGAAUCUUUGAACGCACAUUGCGCCCGCCAGUAUUCUGGCGGGCAUGCCUGUUCGAGCGUCAUUUCAACCAUCAAGCGCCAGCGCUUGUGUUGGAGCCCUGCGGCUGCCGCAGGCUCCCAAACCCAGUGGCGGGCUCGUCGUCGUACCGAGUGCAGUAAACAUACCACGCUCAGGGCACGCGGCGGGUGACCGGCCGUAAAACCCCCAACUUCUCCGGGUUGACCUCGGAUCAGGUAGGAAUACCCGCUGAACUUAAGCAUAUCAAUAAGCGGAGGAAAAGAAACCAACAGGGAUUGCCUCAGUAACGGCGAGUGAAGCGGCAACAGCUCAAAUUUGAAAUCUGGCUCUUUUAGGGUCCGAGUUGUAAUUUGUAGAAGAUGUUUCGGGUGUGGCUCCGGUUUAAGUUCUUUGGAAUAUUACAUCAUAGAGGGUGAGAAUCCCGUAUGUGACCGGCAGCCUUCGCCUAUGUGAAACUCUUUCGACGAGUCGAGUUGUUUGGGAAU